UUUUUUAAUUGGGAACUGGUAUGAAGGGUAGAAACUGAAGGGGUUGUUUUAUUUAAUUAGUUUGAAAUUAAAUUAAAGGUGAAAAUGCCUUUGUUAGACCUAGGGACGAGAAGACCCUAGAAGCUUAAUAUUUUUUGAAAGGGAACUUUUUUUAUUGGGGCAAUAUUUGAAGAUACUAAUCUUUGAUAACUGGAAAUAAAUUAUGUAAAAGUUACUCUAGGGAUAACAGCGUUAUUUGAUUGGUGAGUUCUUAUUAAUAAUUAAGUUUGCGACCUCGAUGUUGAAUUAAAUUGAAUUUUUGGUGAAGUAGCCAAAGGAUUUAGUCUGUUCGACUAUUAGAAAUUUACGUGAUCUGAGUUCAGACCGGA
RNAcentral lists this ribosomal RNA (368 nucleotides) under Pseudopucrolia discrepans. RNAcentral describes it as "partial large subunit ribosomal RNA". The stretch from base 72 to 368 matches the Rfam family "Bacterial large subunit ribosomal RNA", at positions 2046 to 2620 of the family's 2925-position model. Lineage: Eukaryota; Metazoa; Arthropoda; Arachnida; Opiliones; Gonyleptidae. The record is from RNAcentral.